GUCGAGAAUCUUUCACAAUGGGGGCAACCCUGAUGGAGCGACGCCGCGUGGAGGAUAAGGUCUUCGGAUUGUAAACUCCUGUCAUGCGUGAACAAGGUUGCUUGGUUAAUACCUGGGCAAAUUGAUGGUAACGCAAGAGGAAGAGACGGCUAACUCUGUGCCAGCAGCCGCGGUAAUACAGAGGUCUCAAGCGUUGUUCGGAAUCACUGGGCGUAAAGGGUGCGUAGGUGGCGUGGUAAGUCAGAUGUGAAAGCCCGGGGCUCAACCUCGGAACUGCAGCCGAUACUGCCAUGCUAGAGUACUGGAGAGGUGACUAGAAUUCUCGGUGUAGCAGUGAAAUGCGUAGAUAUCGAGAGGAAUACCAAAGGCGUAGGCAGGUCACUGGACAGUUACUGACACUGAGGCACGAAGGCCAGGGGAGCGAACGGGAUUAGAAACCCGGGUAGUCC
Molecule: ribosomal RNA, 449 nt
Filed under: uncultured bacterium
Lineage: Bacteria
Description: partial 16S ribosomal RNA
Rfam family: Bacterial small subunit ribosomal RNA
Source: RNAcentral